AACUGCACAAUGUGGGAAACCACGAUGCGGGAAACCCAAGUGCCAGCGCUAUGCGUUGGCUGUCCUCAAGUGUUCGUAACUUGGGAAGAAAGAGCUGGGUAAGACGGGUGCCAGCCGCCGCGGUAAUACCCGCAGCUCAAGUGGUGGUCAUUAUUAUUGGGCCUAAAGCGUCCGUAGCUGGCUUGUUAGAUGCCUGGGUAAAUCGAUGCGCUCAACGUAUCGAAUUCCGGGUAGACCGGCAAGCUUGGGACCGGGAGAGGCAUGGGCUACUCGCGGGGUAGGGGUAAAAUCCUGUAAUCCUGCGGGGAGGACCAGUGGCGAAGGCGCCAUGCUAGAACGGCUCCGACAGUGAGGGACGAAGCCCUGGGGCGCAAACCGGAUUAGAUACCCGGGUAGUCCAGGGUGUAAACGCUGCAGACUUGGUGUCGCUGAUCCUACGAGGGUUGGCGGUGCCGGAGAGAAGUUGUUGAGUCUGCCGCCUGGGGAGUACGGUCGCAAGACUGAAACUUAA
RNAcentral lists this ribosomal RNA (511 nucleotides) under uncultured archaeon. RNAcentral's name for it is "bacterial SSU rRNA". It matches the Rfam family "Archaeal small subunit ribosomal RNA", at positions 346 to 859 of the family's 1478-position model. The record is from RNAcentral.